Pungitius pungitius (ninespine stickleback) is the source of this 1613-nucleotide long non-coding RNA. RefSeq lists it as uncharacterized. The transcript is spliced from 2 exons. The record is from RefSeq and is a predicted model, not a curated record. Lineage: Eukaryota; Metazoa; Chordata; Actinopteri; Perciformes; Gasterosteidae.
AAAGAACUGAAACUGAAACACUAGAGGCUGAAGUUUGUCCUCCACAAACUGAAAUAAACGGCAAAUCCUGUUUAUUUUAUUUGAAGUGAAAAAAUCCAGUACAAAAUGCAGCGAUAUUGUUUCAGAUGCGGUUGUGCCGAAUGUGUACUUUCUCUGUUUGUGUAUAUAUAUAUAUAUAUACAGUAUAUAUACAUACAAUAGUGGUGUGUGUCUGAAAUAUCUAGAUGCAUUUAAAAAACAUGCACACACACACACACACACAUGCGUACAUGCAACAGCACACAUGAAUCCUGUAAGUUACAUUCCGAUAAUAUACUAGUUAAAUUGGUAAAAACAGCUUUUGAAAUGGAAAAACAGUUUACAGUAACUAAAGUGCAUGCGUCAAUGGUGACACACGCACGCACACACACCUACGGGCUGGAAAGGUGUGUGUCCCAUUACAAUCCUCAAAAGGUCCACUUGAGAGAAAGUUAUUCAAGCAAACAAUGUGUACAAAAGCACAGAAAGAAACAUUUAUUUAUUUAAGUCACUAACCUUUUUUUGCAUGUUUAAUGUCUAGUUUUAAUUCUAACAUACAAAACUUAUUUUGCGCUUUUUGUGUUGAAUAUACAUUUACUCUGCCUGCUUUUUAUCCUGCACUUUGGCUAAAUGACCUCCAAGCAUUACAUUAAGUAUUGGAUCAGCUUUAUUUGUACCAUAGAUAUGCAUUUGAGAAGUGCGUGUGUGUUUGUAUGUGUGUGUGUGUCUGUUUCCGUGAUAGCGUGUUAGUAGAGUGAGCGACGGUGUGUGUGUGUGUGUGUGUGUGUGUGUGUGUGCGCUUAGCAGGUUUAAUGUGCGCUCACACAGUUUUCUAAUGUCGCUUUCCAUGUUUCUUUCAGCAGAAAAAGAAGAAUAGGACGACGUGAACGCAGCCUCUAAAGUGUCGGACUGCGAAGGAACACCUGAGGGGGGACUCUCCAAACGUCCGACAGAGCUUUGUGUGAGUGUGUAUGAGUGAAUGAGUCUAGUUAAAUUUAAUAUUGUUGGCAAAUAUUUUCUGUUCAAAAAGUAGCUCCAUAUUGGAGCCGGCAAGAUGUUACACGUCCAUUAAAUUGUAUGUGCUAUUAAAAGUGCAACCAUGUCAGAAUUGUACCGGUGCUGGAAAAAAAGUUGUUUUUGUUAAUAUUAUUUAGUGACAGAUUGCGUUGUUGUAAAUACAUUUACACAUAAACAUGUAAUUCAUUUCACCCGGGUUUUGCGAUUGCUACACAACUUGCUGCUCCUUCAUCUCCCUUCAGUCACGUCCACUUGUGUCAAAAAAUGCGAGCAGCUGAACGACUGCCGUCCGCGCGUGGACACAUUUUCAUACUCUGGUCUCUCUGCUGAGUACGCGAAAGGCUUCGCUUUGUGCCACGGAGCAUCCUGUGUGUCCCAAUUUUAUGUUUAGUUUGUCCAUGUAUGAGAGAGAGAGAGAGUGUGUGUGUGCGUAAAGGGGGGAGAAAGGGGGGGCGGGGAUUGAUCUCCUUUCUGGGUCGUCCUGCUGAGAAGAAAUGAGGUCUAUGGGAAACAGCCUGACUGGCUCAUUGAUGUGCAUAAAGAUGUUAAACAAGUUCAUUAAAGCUUUGGAAAAAAUC